Pseudogymnoascus sp. WSF 3629 is the source of this 154-nucleotide non-coding RNA. Lineage: Eukaryota; Fungi; Ascomycota; Leotiomycetes; Thelebolales; Thelebolaceae. The record is from the annotation of a GenBank genome assembly.
GGUUGGAUGGUCUAACGGUAAGAUGUCCGCCUCCGUAAGCAAUCGAUUUUGGGCCAUUCAAGGCGAUUUUGGGCUAACCCCUGCAUCUCUUCCUUGGAUACCAAGAGCGGUUGGGGAACGGUGGGAGAUUCCAGUUCAAAUCUGGAUCCAACCA